RNAcentral lists this ribosomal RNA (653 nucleotides) under uncultured archaeon. Its description in RNAcentral is "bacterial SSU rRNA". It matches the Rfam family "Archaeal small subunit ribosomal RNA", at positions 162 to 813 of the family's 1478-position model. The record is from RNAcentral.
UUAGGGCACUGGAAGGUCCCUAAACCGAAAGGGGCUCUGCCCGCCCGAGGAUGGGCCGGCGGCCGAUUAGGUAGUUGGUGGGGUAACGGCCCACCAAGCCCAUAAUCGGUACGGGCAGUGAGAGCUGGAGCCCGGAGAUGGACACUGAGACACGGGUCCAGGCCCUACGGGGCGCAGCAGGCGCGAAACCUCCGCAAUGCUCGAAAGAGCGACGGGGGGACCCCAAGUGCCGUGGUACAACCACGGCUUUCCCGGAGUGUAAGAAGCUCCGGGAAUAAGGGCUGGGCAAGGCCGGUGGCAGCCGCCGCGGUAAUACCGGCGGCCCGAGUGGUGGCCACUAUUAUUGGGCCUAAAGCGUCCGUAGCCGGGCUUGUAAGUCCCUGGCGAAAUCCCACGGCUCAACCGUGGGGCUUGCUGGGGAUACUGCAAGCCUUGGGACCGGGAGAGGCCGGGGGUACUCCUGGGGUAGGGGUGAAAUCCUAUAAUCCCAGGAGGACCGCCAGUGGCGAAGGCGCCCGGCUGGAACGGGUCCGACGGUGAGGGACGAAGGCCAGGGGAGCAAACCGGAUUAGAUACCCGGGUAGUCCUGGCUGUAAAGGAUGCGGGCUAGGUGUUGCUUGGACCUCGAGUCCAAGCAGUGCCGCAGGGAAGCC